GACGAAGGGGGCUAGCGUUGUUCGGAAUUACUGGGCGUAAAGCGCACGUAGGCGGCCUUUCAAGUCGGAUGUGAAAGCCCCGAGCUUAACUCGGGAACUGCAUUUGAUACUGUUGGGCUAGAGACCGGGAGAGGAUAGCGGAAUUCCCAGUGUAGAGGUGAAAUUCGUAGAUAUUGGGAAGAACACCAGUGGCGAAGGCGGCUAUCUGGACCGGUACUGACGCUGAGGUGCGAAAGCGUGGGGAGCAAACAGG
RNAcentral lists this ribosomal RNA (253 nucleotides) under uncultured bacterium. Its description in RNAcentral is "partial 16S ribosomal RNA". It matches the Rfam family "Bacterial small subunit ribosomal RNA", at positions 524 to 776 of the family's 1533-position model. The record is from RNAcentral.